RNAcentral lists this long non-coding RNA (548 nucleotides) under Rattus norvegicus (Norway rat). Its description in RNAcentral is "long non-coding RNA NONRATT027913". The record is from RNAcentral. Lineage: Eukaryota; Metazoa; Chordata; Mammalia; Rodentia; Muridae.
CAUCAUCAUGUCAUUGUCCUACUUAAAAAAGGUUCACUGCAAAUGCUACUUUAUAAUACUGUCGAGCUUUGCCUAGAUGCAGAAACCACGUACACCAGGAAGUAGGACAGGACAGACUCAUUAGAGCUGGGUAGACUGUCACAUUGGCUCCGGUGGCCUGCAGUAUGAGCUAGAUUUUCAGUUCUUUGAAAAGAUUUAUUUUUAACGUGUGUAUGUGUACUUUGUUUGGCUGUAUCUCUGCCCUACAUGUGUGCAGGCCAGAAGAAGGCAUUGGAUCCCCUGGAACUGGAGUUACAGAGGUUGUUAGCUGCUCUGUGUGGGCAUUGGACCUGGGUCUGCUGAGAGAUCAGCCAGUGCUCAGACCCACUGAGCAAUCUCUUAGAUCCAGCUUUUUAAAAUUUAAAGCACCACUGGAAUUUCAUUGGAUCCCUUGGUACUUUUAAACCAUCAUAAUUUUUCUUAAUUCAGAUUAGCAUCAAGGUGACAGCCAGUGUCAUAUGUUCUCAACACGUGGACGUGUAGUUUACCAAUGCAUCGAGUCUGAGUUC